AUGCCCCAUUCCGAAAGCGCUCAGCGCCCGAGAUGGUUGCGGCGAUAGGUGUGGUGGGUACGGCCCACCAAGCCAAGAUCCGUACGCUGUGRGAGCAGGAGCCGGAGAUGACCUGAGACAGGUCAGCCUACGGGCGCAGCAGCGCGAACUCCGCAAUGCGGGAACCGCGACGGGUAGCGGAGUGCCGYGCAUCGCRCGGRCUGUCGGGUGCUAAACAGCACCCAUAGCAAGGGCCGGGCAAGCCGGUGGCAGCGCCGCGGUAAKACCGGCGGCCGAGUGGCGGCACUCUUAUUGGGCCUAAAGCGUCCGUAGCCGGYCYRGUAAGUCCCCCGGGAAAUCUGGYSGCUUAACSRUCAGACUKCCGGGGGAUACUGCYRGRCUAGGGACCGGGAGAGGCCGAGGGUAUUCCCGGGGUAGGGGUGAAAUCCUGUAAUCCCGGGAGGACCACUGUGGCGAAGGCGCUCGGCUGGAACGGGUCCGACGGUGAGGGACGAAGGCCUGGGGAGCGAACCGGAUUAGAUACCCGGGUAGUCCAGGCUGUAAACGAUGCGGGCUAGGUGUCACCGGAGCUACGAGCUCCGGUGGUGCCGGAGGGAAGCCGUUAAGCCCGCCGCCUGGGAAGUACGGCCGCAAGGCUGAAACUUAAAGGAAUUGGCGGGGGAGCACUACAACGGGUGGAGCCUGCGGUUUAAUUGGAUUCAACGCCGGGAAGCUUACCGGGGGAGACAGCGGGAUGAAGGUCGGGCUGAAGACCUUACCAGACUAGCUGAGAGGUGGUGCAUGGCCGCCGUCAGUUCGUACUGUGAAGCAUCCUGUUAAGUCAGGCAACGAGCGAGACCCGCGCCCUCAGUUGCCAGCGGAUCCCUUCGGGGAUGCCGGGCACACUGRGGGGACUGCCGGCGCUAAGCCGGAGGAAGGUGCGGGCAACGGCAGGUCCGUAUGCCCCGAAUCCCCCGGGCUACACGCGGGCUACAAUGGCCGGGACAAUGGGUACCGACCCCGAAAGGGGUGGGUAAUCUCCUAAACCCGGUCUAACCUGGGAUCGAGGGCUGCAACUCGCCCUCGUGAACCUGGAAUCCGUAGUAAUCGCGCCUCAAAAUGGCGCGGUGAAUACGUCCCUGCUCCUUGCACACACCGCCCGUCAAGCCACCCGAGUGGGCCAUGGGUGAGGGCCGCCCCUAGGGCGGUCGAACCCAGUCC
RNAcentral lists this ribosomal RNA (1200 nucleotides) under Archaeoglobus veneficus. Its description in RNAcentral is "bacterial SSU rRNA". Lineage: Archaea; Methanobacteriati; Methanobacteriota; Archaeoglobi; Archaeoglobales; Archaeoglobaceae. The record is from RNAcentral.